This is a long non-coding RNA of Manihot esculenta (cassava), 199 nucleotides long. RefSeq lists it as uncharacterized. The record is from RefSeq and is a predicted model, not a curated record. The transcript has 3 exons. Lineage: Eukaryota; Viridiplantae; Streptophyta; Magnoliopsida; Malpighiales; Euphorbiaceae.
GGAGUUAUUCCGAAAUACCGAAAGACCUCGAUAAAAAAAGGUGAGAAGAGAAAAGUUAAGCCAUACUCGCGCUGGAACGACGAGCUUGACAGGCUGGAUGAGCUGAAGAAAACAAUAUCUACAGAGGAAAAGGAGAUAGAGAGACUUAUACAAGGGUCCAAAAAGCUGAGGGAUAAGGUACACUGGGAAUUUAUUUUGU